Molecule: ribosomal RNA, 810 nt
Filed under: uncultured bacterium
Lineage: Bacteria
Description: bacterial SSU rRNA
Rfam family: Bacterial small subunit ribosomal RNA
Source: RNAcentral
AGAGUUUGAUCAUGGCUCAGAACGAACGCUGGCGGCGUGGAUAAGACAUGCAAGUCGGACGAGAUUUUUCGUUGUAGCAAUACGAUGGAAAGUCUAGUGGCGAACGGGUGCUUAACACGUGGGCAAUCUGUCUUAAAGUGGGGGAUAGCUCGGCGAAAGCCGAAUUAAUACCGCAUGUGAUUAGAGUGGACAUCCAUUCAAAAUUAAAGUCGGGGCAACCUGACGCUUUUUGAGGAGCCCGCGGCCUAUCAGCUUGUUGGUGAGGUAACGGCUCACCAAGGCUUUGACGGGUAGCUGGUCUGAGAGGACGACCAGCCACACUGGGACUGAGACACGGCCCAGACACCUACGGGUGGCAGCAGUCGAGAAUUUUUCUCAAUGGGGGAAACCCUGAAGGAGCGACGCCGCGUGGAGGAUGAAGGUCUUCGGAUUGUAAACUCCUGUCAUUGGGGAACAAGUCGCUUACGUUAACUGCGUGAGCGUUGAUAGUACCCGAAGAGGAAGAGACGGCUAACUCUGUGCCAGCAGCCGCGGUAAUACAGAGGUCUCAAGCGUUGUUCGGAUUCAUUGGGCGUAAAGGGUGCGUAGGCGGCGCGGUAAGUCGGGUGUGAAAUCUUGGAGCUUAACUCCGAAACUGCAUUCGAUACUGCCGUGCUUGAGGACUGGAGAGGAGACUGGAAUUUACGGUGUAGCGGUGAAAUGCGUAGAUAUCGUAAGGAAGACCAGUGGCGAAGGCGGGUCUCUGGACAGUUCCUGACGCUGAGGCACGAAGGUCAGGGGAGCAAACGGGAUUAGAUACCCCAGUAGUCC